GAUGAACGCUGGCGGCGUGCCUAAUACAUGCAAGUCGAGCGAACAGACGAGGAGCUUGCUCCUCUGACGUUAGCGGCGGACGGGUGAGUAACACGUGGAUAACCUACCUAUAAGACUGGGAUAACUUCGGGAAACCGGAGCUAAUACCGGAUAAUAUAUUGAACCGCAUGGUUCAAUAGUGAAAGACGGUUUUGCUGUCACUUAUAGAUGGAUCCGAGCCGAAUUAGCUAGUUGGUAAGGUAACGGCUUACCAAGGCAACGAUGCGUAGCCGACCUGAGAGGGUGAUCGGCCACACUGGAACUGAGACACGGUCCAGACUCCUACGGGAGGCAGCAGUAGGGAAUCUUCCGCAAUGGGCGAAAUCCUGACGGAGCAACGCCGCGUGAGUGAUGAAGGUCUUCGGAUCGUAAAACUCUGUUAUUAGGGAAGAACAAAUGUGUAAGUAACUAUGCACGUCUUGACGGCACCUAAUCAGAAAGCCACGGCUAACUACGUG
RNAcentral lists this ribosomal RNA (497 nucleotides) under uncultured bacterium. RNAcentral describes it as "partial 16S ribosomal RNA". It matches the Rfam family "Bacterial small subunit ribosomal RNA", at positions 28 to 507 of the family's 1533-position model. The record is from RNAcentral.